Odontomachus brunneus is the source of this 4649-nucleotide long non-coding RNA. RefSeq lists it as uncharacterized. NCBI's taxonomy places the organism in Eukaryota, Metazoa, Arthropoda, Insecta, Hymenoptera, Formicidae. The record is from RefSeq and is a predicted model, not a curated record. The transcript has 3 exons.
CGACUAUUAUUGCAAAUAUCGCAAAACGGCACAGGACCGUCGGACCAACGGGAUUUCUUGCUCACCUCAAUUCGUUCUACGUUCUCACAAAGAGUCAUCAUGGAGGUCUGAGACACCCUGUAUAAUCAUAUAGUUUAGCAGUAAUAGUAUAUAGGUAGCAUUUUUAGUUAUAUAAUUGUAACGUCAGAUUUUCUAAUCUAUCAAAUUAAGUAGCAGAAAAAGAAUCGACGAGCAGUAAAUACUUGAAAUAAAAAAGAGGAGUUCUUAGAAGAAAAGGAAACUGUGAUCGAUGUUUUUCAACUUCAUGUAUCAAAGGUGAAUCAGGAUAUCUCAUGUCUACGUGUCGCGAAUUUACGAGAUAUGUUUAAUUUCAAAAUUUUAUUUUUUUGGGACAAUGCUAUCAAUCUUUACAAAUUUUUUUAUCAGGUAUAUAUUAAAAAUUAUAUAUUAAAAAUAAUGGCAGAGUUUUUUCUAGUAUUUUAAUGUUUUUAGUAUUUUAAUGUUUACAUGUAACAGAUAGAUAGGGUACCAUUAUUGAAUUUUAGGAACAAAGCGGAGAGCAGUCUUUUAAUUUUUGUACAUAAAAUGACAUAUUUUUUCUUAGAGAGAUAGAUAUUCCUCAUUAAUAUGCUUUUUUGGUUUUUAUAAAAAUCAUUUUUGAGCUUUAAUGUCAACAAAAUAGUUUGAAUUUAUAGAAUAACAUAUUGAAGACCUUAGCAAUAGCUAUGUUAUUAUGUUAGGGAGAUCUUCUUUUAUUUAAAUUUCUCCUCCGUUGUAAAUAGCAUCAACUAUUAUCUUUUGUUUUUCACAUUAUUUGUCCUCAUAUAUUUUUAUGUAUGACUUUGUAUCGCGAUGUUUAAGACAGAUUAACUUUUUUUUCAUGUUAUUUCAAUGUAGUCAUUUCAUUUUUGUAUUUUUCUGAUGGUUGAUGUUCUGAUUAUAUGACCAAUAUAAUGAACAGUUUUUUCUUUUUAUUGCCUAAUUUUUAUUAAGCUCUUUAUUUAAUUAUAUUUAACUUUCCUUCAUUUACUAAUACUUGUUAUCAGAUAUUAGCUUUUAAUUUAUUUAGCUUCUACCAAGUCCUACUAACGCGAUUGUUUCAACGGGAUUAAGUAAAUAUUAAAUAAAUGCAAAAUAGGUACAAUUGGUACCAGUUUGAUUUUGCUGAUUUGCUUUGGCUAAUUAAAAAAAAGAGAUUUUUAAAAACUCUGUAAAAAAAAGCUUUGGAACAUCUUAUAUGAUACGUCCUGUAUAUAAUGCCUAUAAUAUAGGCAAUAUAUUAAACAUUAAUGUGAUGUAUAGCCGCAUUUAUUCAACUUAGAGCUAUUCUUAACUUUGCUGAUAUAAGUUACAUAUGAAAUUAUCAUAUGAUAAUUAACAGAUUAGCUAUCUUCAGUGUCAUAUUGUGCCGCUUCUACGAAUAAUUGAUCAGUCAUGACAUAAAUAUUUCAAUAUAUUAUAUUGAAGUACUUUUUUGUCAUAACUGAUCAAUUAUUCGUAGAAGCGACGUAAUAUGACACUAAAGAUAGAUAAUCUGUUGUCAUGAUAGUUUCAUAUGUAACUUAUAUCAGUAAAGUUAAUCCUUAGUGACACUACAUGAGUAUUCCGGGUAGUCCGGACGGUUUCUAUUCAUAGAAAUUUCUCAGCAUGUUGAAGAGUCCCGGAUUUUUUACUUCCUAAAAAAUGCUAGGGGUAAGAGAAACUUGUGAGCGAAGGGGCGCCCAAAACCGUCAGUUCCUCUGCGACCAGCAUCGUAGUAAGUUUUCGUUCGGCUUCAAAAGACCCACGUAGGGUCAAAACGUGUCUUGUUUGUGAAAAAUGGAAAAUCUAUAAACAUUCAUAAAACAAUGGAAAAGUUACAGCGAGUUACAGCGUUACAUCGCGUUACGAAUAUAUGAGAAAGGCGAUAUUGAAUUGUUUGGCGUUUGGAUCAAGGAAUUAUCAACAGUAAUAUUCUGUAUAAUUUAUGUAAGGACAAUAUAAUGAUAAAGAGACAGGAAUUUAUGGAUAUCCUGAUAAUGUCUUUGAUAGCUCCGCAUAUGCACCACAGACUGCAGAAAGAAACAUUACGGAAAGGGUUGCGCUUGUCAAUAUGCGCAAAUCAAUAUACUGCAGAUUGAAGAACCAAAACCAGAGAUACGAGGAAAACUAGAAAAACGCAAAAGAUAUUAUUUCUACAAUAUGAGCACUGACAGCAAAACGUGGCAUGAUAGCGUGUCCUGCGGAAAGCCGGGGUGAAGAUCAUUGGAAUUAUACAUAUAUAUAUAUAUAUAUAUAUAUAUAUAUAUAUAUAUAUAUAUAUAUAUAUAUAUAUACCUUCUGUAUAAAAAGUACCGGGAAUCGUUAAAAAAAACACAGAAUAUUUUAUUUAUUCAUCAAAAUUUAUUUUGUCGCCUUCAAAGUAAUCCCCAUCGUUUGCAAUGCACAUGUGAAAACGGCGAAACCAAUCUUCCAUGCACUUCUGGUAGGCCGAUUCUGGUAUGGCCUUCAGGACCCGCUGCGAAUUCCUUUUGAUGUCAUCAAUCGAUGAAAAACGAGUACCACGGAGUGGCAAUUUCAGUUUCGGGAAAAGAAAGAAGUCGCACGGUGCCAAAUCAGGCGAAUACGGUGGAUGGUCGACAGAAUUGACCGAGUUUUUGGCCUUGUAAUCGGCCACAAUCGUGGCUCUGUGCGCUGGCGCAUUGUCAUCGUGUAAAAUCCACGAAUUGUCUCGCCACAAUUCGGGCCUUUUUCGCCGGAUAUCAGUGCGUCGGCACACGAAAUUUCGUUUGCAACACAAAAUUUGAGGCACACUCUUUGUUCGACUAUUUUUUCCAUGGUAAAAUUCGCAGAGCAACACUGAGGUAGACUUGUUUGGACAGCUGCCAUAAACAAACUAGUUGACUGAUCGAGCUCAAGCUCCGGUUGGUAAUGAAGGAAGGUAGUGCCAAUCUAAAAAAAAAAACUUUUUACCGCUACCUCUUCCGCGGUUCAUUUAAAUGACAAUUUCCCGGUACUUUUUAUACUGUAUAUUAUAUAUAAUAAUCAUCAGAAUAAAUGAUACCUCAUAAAUGAAGUAAGAUAACUGUAGUUGAAUUUAACGCACUCAAUCUUAUAGUUGUGUGAUGAAUUAGUUCUUUCGGUAAAACUUUGAUGUUCACUUAAUCUUUUUUAUUGGUUAUAUUUAAUAUUUUUUAUUAGUCAUUCUCUUUUAAUCUCUGUUAUUAUCGUCGUAUAUUUAUUGUCUGAUUUAUUUACUCUCAUCAGAGAUAGAAUUAGUCAUAUUAUGCAAUUACUUUAUAUUUAUAUGGUACAUUUAUAUGUGCUGUAUGUUUGACGCGUACAUCUUGCGAUUUAAAAAUUAUCUAUUAUUGUAUUAGAAUCCCGCCUAUAAUAUUUGAAAAUUCUCAAAGUUGAAUGUCUCUUACGCAGUAAUAGUAUAAUUAAUAAUAAUAAUAAAUAGUAUAAUUACUACGCAAACACGAAGUUCGUCAGUAAUGACUCUUAAUUUUAACAGUUUAAUGAAUUCCCAAUUUCAUUGUGUUUUAAAUAGUUUUGUAAGCAUGUAUAUAUAUAUAUAUAUAUAUAUAUAUAUAUAUAUAUAUAUAUAUAUAUAUAUAUAUAUAUACUCUCUAAAUUUCUUGGAGUGAAAAUCUCGCUCAAAAAAUAGAGUAACAACCGAGUCACUCAAAUUAGAGUGACUUCUCACUCUGUAUCGUGGAAUGAAAACUUUCACUCGUGGAGCGAAUUUUCGCUCGACAAAUGGGAUGACGGCCCUCACUCGAGUUAAAGUGACUUCACUCAUGUGGAGUGAAUUUUCAGUCGUAGAACAGUGAAUGAUUCGGAAACAGUUCAUAUAUCAUUAUAGUAUCGUAAAAAUUUACUUUACUUGGAGUGAAAUAUUCACUUUAUUUGGAAUGAAAUAUUCACUUUUAUGAAAAGUGAAAUGUCACUCCAUUCAGAGUAAGCAGCAUUUUCACUAUUGCUUGGAGUGAAUAUUUACUUCUUUUGAGUGAAACUUCACUGCAAGAAAUUUAGAGAGUAAGAUUGAAAAAAUACAACUAGACCCCUAUUAUCCUUUAUAUAACACAUAAGACUAGAUAGACUAGAUAAUACUUCUGUUAUUCUUCAAUAUGUAAUUUGAUUUCAAUCUAAGAGCCAUACAAUCGCUUUCUACACGCAAAAAAUGAUUCAGUUAGCAUUAUUGAAUUUCAGUUACGACAACCGAAAUUUUCGGUUCUUCAGGAAUCAACUGAAAAAUCGGUUGCUACAAAAAAGAAAUUCUGUUGAAAAGUUUCUGUUGUGCCAAACAUAUAUUCGAUCAUCCCAAUCGAAUUGAAAUGUUGUGAAAGAUAUAAGUUUCGUUUGUCCUAACCUAUACUUCAGUUCAUAUUGAUGGAUGUUUCAGCUAUAUUAGGAAUAGAUUAAUAUUUAACAAAACAUACUUAUAUAUUCAUAAUUUUCUCAUGUCUUAUAAAGCCACUACGUAUUGAAGGUUGUCAAAAACACACUCCAAACUUUCGUGAAUCAUCCCGUGAUAAUUUCGAUCCCACGCGGUAUACUCACCGGGCCACAUCCAUGUCAGACUUCGUUAAGAUGUUGCUUAACCUGACGAUCGAGCGGCACGCGGCGAUUCCCGAUGACUCCAACGAUAUUCUUACGACUUAUGC